GUGAGGAAUAUUGGUCAAUGGGCGAGAGCCUGAACCAGCCAAGUCGCGUGAAGGAAGACGGCCCUACGGGUUGUAAACUUCUUUUGCAAUGGAAUAAAAAGAGUUACGUGUAAUUCAUUGUAUGUACAUUGCGAAUAAGGAUCGGCUAACUCCGUGCCAGCAGCCGCGGUAAUACGGAGGAUCCGAGCGUUAUCCGGAUUUAUUGGGUUUAAAGGGUGCGUAGGCGGAUUGGAAAGUCAGCGGUGAAAGUUUGCAGCUUAACUGUAAAAUUGCCAUUGAAACUGUCAGUCUUGAGUGCAAAUGAGGUAGGCGGAAUGUGUUGUGUAGCGGUGAAAUGCAUAGAUAUAACACAGAACACCAAUUGCGAAGGCAGCUUACUGGGAUGCAACUGACGCUGAGGCACGAAAGCGUGGGGAUCAAACAGGAUUAGAAACCCGUGUAGUCC
RNAcentral lists this ribosomal RNA (445 nucleotides) under uncultured bacterium. RNAcentral describes it as "partial 16S ribosomal RNA". It matches the Rfam family "Bacterial small subunit ribosomal RNA", at positions 354 to 796 of the family's 1533-position model. The record is from RNAcentral.